This 70-nucleotide transfer RNA is filed under the name Camelus bactrianus (Bactrian camel). It matches the Rfam family "tRNA". From Rfam's summary of the family: Transfer RNA (tRNA) molecules are approximately 80 nucleotides in length. Their secondary structure includes four short double-helical elements and three loops (D, anti-codon, and T loops). Further hydrogen bonds mediate the characteristic L-shaped molecular structure. tRNAs have two regions of fundamental functional importance: the anti-codon, which is responsible for specific mRNA codon recognition, and the 3' end, to which the tRNAs corresponding amino acid is attached (by aminoacyl-tRNA synthetases). tRNAs cope with the degeneracy of the genetic code in two manners: having more than one tRNA (with a specific anti-codon) for a particular amino acid; and 'wobble' base-pairing, i.e. permitting non-standard base-pairing at the 3rd anti-codon position. Lineage: Eukaryota; Metazoa; Chordata; Mammalia; Artiodactyla; Camelidae. The record is from Rfam by way of RNAcentral. RNAcentral also lists the same sequence under 1 other name.
GGGUGUAGCUCAGAGGUAGAGUGCAUGCUUAGCAUGCACGAGGUCCUGGGUUCAAUCCCCAGUACAUCCG